GCAUAUCAAUAAGCGGAGGAAAAGAAACCAACAGGGAUUGCCCUAGUAACGGCGAGUGAAGCGGCAACAGCUCAAAUUUGAAAUCUGGCGUCUUUGGCGUCCGAGUUGUAAUUUGCAGAGGGCGCUUUGGCAUUGGCAGCGGUCCAAGUUCCUUGGAACAGGACGUCACAGAGGGUGAGAAUCCCGUACGUGGUCGCUAGCCUUUACCGUGUAAAGCCCCUUCGACGAGUCGAGUUGUUUGGGAAUGCAGCUCUAAAUGGGAGGUAAAUUUCUUCUAAAGCUAAAUACUGGCCAGAGACCGAUAGCGCACAAGUAGAGUGAUCGAAAGAUGAAAAGCACUUUGGAAAGAGAGUUAAAAAGCACGUGAAAUUGUUGAAAGGGAAGCGCUUGCAGCCAGACUUGCCUGUAGUUGCUCAUCCGGGUUUUUACCCGGUGCACUCUUCUAUAGGCAGGCCAGCAUCAGUUUGGGCGGUUGGAUAAAGGUCUCUGUCACGUACCUCCUCUCGGGGAGAACUUAUAGGGGAGACGUAAUGCAACCAGCCUGGACUGAGGUCCGCGCAUCUGCUAGGAUG
RNAcentral lists this ribosomal RNA (572 nucleotides) under Boeremia exigua. RNAcentral's name for it is "eukaryotic LSU rRNA". It matches the Rfam family "Eukaryotic large subunit ribosomal RNA", at positions 38 to 625 of the family's 3401-position model. Lineage: Eukaryota; Fungi; Ascomycota; Dothideomycetes; Pleosporales; Didymellaceae. The record is from RNAcentral.